GACGAACGCUGGCGGCGUGCUCAACACAUGCAAGUCGAACGGAAAGGCCCUGCUUUUGUGGGGUGCUCGAGUGGCGAACGGGUGAGUAACACGUGAGUAACCUGCCCUUGACUUUGGGAUAACUUCAGGCAACUGGGGCUAAUACCGGAUAGGAGCUCCUGCUGCAUGGUGGGGGUUGGAAAGUUUCGGCGGUUGGGGAUGGACUCGCGGCUUAUCAGCUUGUUGGUGGGGUAGUGGCUUACCAAGGCUUUGACGGGUAGCCGGCCUGAGAGGGUGACCGGCCACAUUGGGACUGAGAUACGGCCCAGACUCCUACGGGAGGCAGCAGUGGGGAAUAUUGCACAAUGGGCGGAAGCCUGAGGCAGCAACGCCGCGUGCGGGAUGACGGCCUUCGGGUUGUAAACCGCUUUCGCCUGUGACGAAGCGUGAGUGACGGUAAUGGGUAAAGAAGCACCGGCUAACUACGUG
RNAcentral lists this ribosomal RNA (468 nucleotides) under uncultured bacterium. RNAcentral describes it as "partial 16S ribosomal RNA". It matches the Rfam family "Bacterial small subunit ribosomal RNA", at positions 28 to 507 of the family's 1533-position model. The record is from RNAcentral.